This 401-nucleotide ribosomal RNA is filed under the name uncultured bacterium. RNAcentral describes it as "bacterial SSU rRNA". It matches the Rfam family "Bacterial small subunit ribosomal RNA", at positions 975 to 1375 of the family's 1533-position model. The record is from RNAcentral.
CUACCCUUGACAUGCCAGGAACUUGGUAGAGAUACCUUGGUGCCCGAAAGGGAGCCUGGACACAGGUGCUGCAUGGCUGUCGUCAGCUCGUGUCGUGAGAUGUUGGGUUAAGUCCCGCAACGAGCGCAACCCUUGUCAUUAGUUGCCAUCAUUUAGUUGGGCACUCUAAUGAGACUGCCGGUGACAAACCGGAGGAAGGUGGGGAUGACGUCAAGUCCUCAUGGCCCUUAUGGGUAGGGCUUCACACGUCAUACAAUGGUCGGUACAGAGGGUUGCCAAGCCGCGAGGUGGAGCCAAUCCCAGAAAGCCGAUCGUAGUCCGGAUCGGAGUCUGCAACUCGACUCCGUGAAGUCGGAAUCGCUAGUAAUCGUGGAUCAGCAUGCCACGGUGAAUACGUUCCC